CUUCAGGAUCAAUGAAAUCUAGGGAUUCCUGUCAUCCUCAUUGUUUUUCAUCUCUCUUUUCUGUUUCUCCUUUUCUCACCUUAUUCUCUUCUCCUGCAGAGAGGUUUCCUCAGGAUAACUUGAGCCAAAGACGAGGCAGCUGCAGAUGCACAUCAUCCCACUUUAGCAAUCCCAGAGGAAAGCAAGGCUAUCAGUACACAUAAUUCCAGAGAAGAAUUUCAGUUGACCUCGUCUGGAUUCCAUGUUCAAUCCUUGGACUCAGAGGAAGAAGGAAAUGGAGAAGGAGCAGCAGACUUCCACUUUAAUCGCAUCAGCCUGGACUGAGUCACCUGGUCACACUUAGCAACAAGAGGGCCCCGGGAGCACAACCCUCUACGUCAGAUGAAGGAACCCUGAGUCAGCUCUUGUCCAGUUCAAGCCGGUUGAGACCACAGACCCCUCAAUUGGGCCUGCUCGAGUGUUCCACAGGUGACCUUUUGAGUCAGAGGGCUGAAAAUUCCAUUGGAUCAUGCUAACACCGCUGGUGUUCUGAACAUACACCCUGUCCAGAAGCAUGAAGCCCAUCUGCACUGCGCAGAGCAACCAUUCAAUCCUUCCUCACGUUUCUUACCCACAGUCGCCUUGCCCUGUACCUCUGCCGGCACUGUGCCCUUUACUCAUAAAUAUCCCAACCCUCUUGCCUUUGGGAGAGCAGACUUCGAGAUCUGUUCUCCUGUCUCAUGAGUAAACCCUCUCACUGCUGCAAACGUCAGCGUCUGUCAGGCAAAAGAACAUGGUUUGGUAACGAAAUGACAGGAAUCUAAAGAAUUAGCAACAAGCAUUUUUCAAAAGUGUUAAAGUGCUUAUAAUAAAAG
Phacochoerus africanus (Common warthog) is the source of this 854-nucleotide long non-coding RNA. RefSeq lists it as uncharacterized. NCBI's taxonomy places the organism in Eukaryota, Metazoa, Chordata, Mammalia, Artiodactyla, Suidae. The record is from RefSeq and is a predicted model, not a curated record. The transcript has 3 exons.